Molecule: unclassified non-coding RNA, 325 nt
Filed under: soil metagenome
Description: partial contains 5.8S ribosomal RNA, internal transcribed spacer 2, and large subunit ribosomal RNA
Rfam family: 5.8S ribosomal RNA (bases 1-121)
Source: RNAcentral
GAUGAAGAACGUAGCGAAAUGCGAUAAGUAAUGCGAAUUGCAGAAUUUCCGUGAGUCAUCGAAUCUUUGAACGCACAUUGCGCCCCUUGGUAUUCCAUGGGGCAUGCCUGUUCGAGCGUCAUUUGUACCUUCAAGCUUUGCUUGGUGUUGGGUGUUUGUCCCGAGGGACUCGCCUUAAAGUAAUUGGCAGCCAGUGUUUGGUUUUGAAGCGCAGCACAAGUCGCGAUUCAAGGCUACACGCCCGCUUCCACAAGCCUUUUUUCACUUUUGACCUCGGAUCAGGUAGGGAUACCCGCUGAACUUAAGCAUAUCAAUAAGCGGAGGA